GAUCAUGGCUCAGGACGAACGCUGGCGGCGUGCUUAACACAUGCAAGUCGAGCGGUAAGGCCCUUUCGGGGGUACACGAGCGGCGAACGGGUGAGUAACACGUGGGUAACCUGCCCUCCACUCUGGGAUAAGCCCGGGAAACUGGGUCUAAUACCGGAUAGGACCACUGAUCGCAUGGUUGGUGGUGGAAAGUUUUUUCGGUGGGGGAUGGGCCCGCGGCCUAUCAGCUUGUUGGUGGGGUGAUGGCCUACCAAGGCGGUGACGGGUAGCCGG
This 273-nucleotide ribosomal RNA is filed under the name uncultured bacterium. RNAcentral describes it as "partial 16S ribosomal RNA". It matches the Rfam family "Bacterial small subunit ribosomal RNA", at positions 15 to 290 of the family's 1533-position model. The record is from RNAcentral.